GGGAAAAGCUCAAAUUUGAAAUCUGGUAGCCUCAGGCUGCCCGAGUUGUAAUCUAUAGAAACGUUUUCCGCGCUGGCCCAUGUACAAGUCUCCUGGAAUGGAGCGUCAUAGAGGGUGAGAAUCCCGUCCUUGACAUGGACUACCAGUGCUUUGUGAUACGUUUUCAAAGAGUCGAGUUGUUUGGGAAUGCAGCUCAAAAUGGGUGGUAAAUUCCAUCUAAAGCUAAAUAUUGGCGAGAGACCGAUAGCGAACAAGUACCGUGAGGGAAAGAUGAAAAGCACUUUGGAAAGAGAGUUAAACAGUAUGUGAAAUUGUUGAAAGGGAAACGAUUGAAGUCAGUCAUGUCUAUUGGACUCAGCCGGUUCUGCCGGUGUACUUCCUUUAGAUGGGGUCAACAUCAGUUUUGAUCGCUGGAAAAGGGCAGGAGGAAUGUAGCACUCUCGGGUGAACUUAUAGCCUCCUGUCGUAUACAGUGGUUGGGACUGAGGAACGCAGCAUGCCUUUAUGGCCGGGGUUCGCCCACGUACAUGCUUAGGAUGUUGACAUAAUGGCUUUAAACGACCCGUCUUGA
RNAcentral lists this ribosomal RNA (571 nucleotides) under Solicoccozyma phenolica. Its description in RNAcentral is "partial large subunit ribosomal RNA". It matches the Rfam family "Eukaryotic large subunit ribosomal RNA", at positions 100 to 657 of the family's 3401-position model. The record is from RNAcentral. Lineage: Eukaryota; Fungi; Basidiomycota; Tremellomycetes; Filobasidiales; Piskurozymaceae.